RNAcentral lists this ribosomal RNA (138 nucleotides) under uncultured bacterium. Its description in RNAcentral is "partial 16S ribosomal RNA". The record is from RNAcentral.
GCACGGAAGUUAGCCGGAAGCUUAUUCUCCCGGUACUGUCAUUAUCAUCCCGGGUAAAAGAGCUUUACAACCCUAAGGCCUUCAUCACUCACGCGGCAUUGCUGGAUCAGGCUUUCGCCCAUUGUCCAAUAUUCCCCA